AUACUUACCUGGCAGGGGAGAUACCAUGAUCACGAAGGUGGUUUUCCCAGGGUGAGGUUUAUCCAUUGCACUCCGGAUGUGCUGACCCCUGCGAUUUCCCCAAAUGUGGGAAACUUGACUGCAUAAUUUGUUGUAGUUGGGGACUGCGUUCACGCUAGA
RNAcentral lists this small nuclear RNA (159 nucleotides) under Mandrillus leucophaeus (drill). Its description in RNAcentral is "U1 spliceosomal RNA (ENSMLEG00000026858.1)". It matches the Rfam family "U1 spliceosomal RNA". Rfam says of the family: U1 is a small nuclear RNA (snRNA) component of the spliceosome (involved in pre-mRNA splicing). Its 5' end forms complementary base pairs with the 5' splice junction, thus defining the 5' donor site of an intron. There are significant differences in sequence and secondary structure between metazoan and yeast U1 snRNAs, the latter being much longer (568 nucleotides as compared to 164 nucleotides in human). The record is from Rfam by way of RNAcentral. Lineage: Eukaryota; Metazoa; Chordata; Mammalia; Primates; Cercopithecidae.